Non-coding RNA from Drosophila melanogaster (fruit fly), 64 nucleotides. Lineage: Eukaryota; Metazoa; Arthropoda; Insecta; Diptera; Drosophilidae. The record is from Ensembl.
GCGACACCCAGAGGCAGCCCAAUUUUAUAUGUCUAAUUUAGGUAGCGAGCGCGAAAGGAACGCA